Long non-coding RNA from Salvia splendens (bonfire salvia), 2416 nucleotides. RefSeq lists it as uncharacterized. The transcript has 2 exons. Lineage: Eukaryota; Viridiplantae; Streptophyta; Magnoliopsida; Lamiales; Lamiaceae. The record is from RefSeq and is a predicted model, not a curated record.
UUAAACAAAUAUUCUGCAGAGAUCUUCCCCUCCUUCUCUUACGCGAUUUUCCUCUCCUCCUCUUUGAUCUGCAAAUAAAAUCCCAAAGAAAUAAAAUUAGUCAAUCCCAAUUAAUUUUGUGAAAUCAAUUACCCAUUAUCCAUCCCCUUUCCCACGUUCAUAACCGUUCCCCACUCUGUAAAUCUCUUCCAAAUCUAGACCUUAACAAACUCCCGAUUAUACACCCACACUAUGCAGUAUAUUAAUCGCCAUACCCUAAUCGCUCCUCACACAAAUUCUGUAGUCACAACUCUCUCAGGGCGGCAGAGAAAGCAGCGAAAAGAGCCCAUUCUUCUCCCCUCUCAACCCUGAUUCCACUAAGGGUCGAGACAGAGAGUUGAUAGUUUGUUAUUCAAGAACCACUUUUUUCAAAUCCUUGCUGAUCUUGAUUUCUCAUCCACGGAGGUAAUUAAAAAAAAUCUAUCACCCUCUUUCUCAAGAUGAAUUCACAUGGACAUAGAAAACUUAUUCUGAUAGAAACCAAGAAUCCAAAUUAAAACUUAUUUUGAUAGAAACCAAGAAUCCAAAUUCAGGGAGGAGAAACCAGCAACCUUGACCUUUUGCCUGAGCCGAUCUGUUCAGUGAAGGUAUAAACCUUCCCCCUUUAUCUCAAUUCUCCAGACAUCAAGCAUAUCACUUUUUUGCACCAAUCGAAACUCGAUAUCGAAGUAAAAUAAAUCAAAGAGCAACCUUUUAAAGGAUCAGAAUCAAAAUUUAAGAACUUAAUUGCGGGGACUAUUCGGGGUGAAUUGGGGCAGCGUUCCUUGAGCUUUAUGUGUAUCUCAUUUAGUGAAUUACUGUUAUGUAUUAUGUUUCAACAAAUAAAAAGAAAGGGAGAAAAGUUCUGGGGAUGUUCUUUGAAAUAAAACACAGUAAAGAGAGAAAGGGGAGAAGCCGAUGGUUUUAGAGGAGAGCUUUAUUAUGUUGGUUUAGUUUUUCAAAAGGGAGUAUAUGAUUGUUUGCGUAUUUAGGAAAGGGGAAUAUUAUAAAAUUCUGUUUAUGUUAAAUCUUGAGUAUUUGAUUUUAAAAAUGGAGAUAGGAGUGUACGUGUACCGUUGGGAAGAAGAGUAUUUCUUGUUUUCUUGUUUUUCUUGUUUAAUCAUUUUCCUAAUGCUUUAGUUGAGAUUGUUGGUUUAAAAGUGAAACAUGAGGCAGCGUGUAUUUUGGAAAGGGGAGUUUUAUUCUUGUUGUUUUAAAACCUUAUUUAUUCUUACUAAUCCUAGUUUGAAGUGCUUUUUAGUUGGUAGAUUUUUAAAGAAAACGGGAUGUUAAAGUGCGUGUAAAUAUAAUGGAGUGUUUGUAUUGUCAUUAAAUUGUUUAUUUUUACUUAAUUGAAAGUGGCAGCAGUACUUAGGAAAGGGGUAUGUGAACGUGCGUUUAGGAAAAAUGGUGUAUGUUAAUUUUUAUUUGCUUUGUUAUUAUUUGAGUUUGGAUUAAUUGGCAGUGGAGGAGAUACGUGUAUUACUUUUGCGAAUAGGAGUAUACUAUUUCCUUCUUUGGGCUCCUUAAUUUAUUUGGUUGGGCUUGUUUCUAAUAUGAAUGGUUGGGGCGUGAGCGGCCAGAAUUAAUCAAAAAUACCCAAGCCCGUAAUCAUGAGAAAUUGGUAGUCUUGAACGAGGAAGAUAAUUGGAGACAUAGGAUGGAUGCAUCUUAUUUAUAUAUUUGAAAAGUGUGUUGAUUUACGUGUUAUGUAAAUGCUAAAGGUGAUUCUUCGCAAGUGAAUCGUGAUCGCAAGGGAAAGAAUAUAUUUGUAGAUUAAGCACUCGAGGUGAGCUUUCUUUUAAAUAAGGACAAUGUCCUAAAUAUUUAUUGACGGGAAUGAAACUAUGUUUAUCAUGCCGUGAUUUGAUUUUAACGUGCCUAUCUGAUGUGGCUUUUGCCAUUAUUAUUUAAAUCAAAUUUUGGUCCUCGUAGGGUCGAAAACCCCACUUGGAUUAGUGUACACCUAUGGUAGACCGUGUGCUAGCGUAUGGGUUGGCCGGUCUAGUGACUUGGUUUGUGGUCACAUUCCAUGUCAUGUAUGUGCAGAUAUGGUUAACGUCUAUGGGAAAAUAACUGAUCAAUCGACUAUUUACAAUGAAAAUGAUUUUGAGUGCCUCGGGUCUUUCUAAAGCUAAAUCUCGAUGGUUGCUUAUGGAUGACAUGAUAAAUACUAUUUUGAUAACAUGUUUUCGGCAUAAGUUCACUGAGUAAUUUUAUAGUACUCAGCCCUGCAUGUGUUUUCCUUAUGUGCAGGUUGAGCGGCGACGAGCAAUUGGUGGUGUUGAGCAAUUAAAAUUGAAGUAUUAUUUGGUUAUCUUUGAACUACGAGUGUCGUUGUGUCUUCACACAUUACGUCACUCUUUCUCUUGAACGCUUCCGCUGAGACAUUAUUUUU